This 1176-nucleotide long non-coding RNA is filed under the name Homo sapiens (human). Its description in RNAcentral is "novel transcript". Lineage: Eukaryota; Metazoa; Chordata; Mammalia; Primates; Hominidae. The record is from RNAcentral.
ACACGCUGUAGAGAAAAACUCAUUAUUAAUCUUGGCCAAGUCAUAAAACAAACAAAAAAAGGGACAAUAACCCCUGGCAGGAGAGUAUCAGAAAUAAAUGCUGUUACAAUGUAUUAUUUAAAAUGUCCAGUUUUAAACAGGAAAGUAUGGCUUAUCUAGUAUAAAAAAAAAAAUACUCAGUAUAAACAGAAGCUAUUUCCAAGGGUUCCCAAAUGUUGGACUUAACAGACAGACUUCAAAGCAGCCAAUAAAAAUACAUCUUCAAAGAACAAAAGAAAACCGUGUUUAAUCAAAGCAUGAAAACAAUGACUAAUCAGAGAACACUUAAUAAAGAGAUCAACAUUUUUUAAAAAAUGGAAAUUCUGGAGUUGAAAAGUAACUAAAGUGAAAGCUUCAUUAGAGGGACAACAGCAAACUUGAAUGCAGAAGGAAGAAUCAGUGAACUCAAAGAUAAAUCAAUACAAAUUACACAAUCUGAAGAACAGAAGUGAGAAUGAAAAAUGAACCAAGUAGGAAAUCUGUGGGUUACAAUCAAUACCAACAUAUGCAUAAUGGGAAUCCCAGAAGAAAAGAAUAGUGAGGGCCAUACAAGUUUUGACAUCUUUUGAAGAGUCAUAGAAGUUUUUAAUGUCUGAAAACAUUCCAAAUUUAGUAAGAAGUAUAAAUCUGUAUAUCCAAGUAUCUCAAUAAAAUCCAAGUAGAAUAAACAUUAAAAUAUCCACACCGAUACACAUCAAAAUCUUGAAAGCAGCAAGAGAAAAAUGGACUUAUCAUGCACAGGGGAACCCCAGUAAAAUUAGCAGCUGACUUCUCAAAAGAAACAAUGAAGGCCAGAAUUAAGUGGUAUAACAUACUCUACUGUCAAACAAGAAUUCUAAAUCCAGUAAAACUAUCCUUCAAAAAAGAGGACAAAAAUAAAGAUCUUCCCAGAUAGACAAAGAGAAUUUGUUGCCACCAAAAUUUUUUUUACAAGAUAUGCUAAAGCAAGUACUUCAGGCUGAAAGGAAACACCACCAGAUGGUAACUUGAAUCCACAUAAAAAAUUAAAGUACCAGUAAAAGUAAUUAUGUAGGCAAAUGUAAAAAAUAGAAAAAAUACUCUUUUUAAGUUUUCUUCUCUUACUUAAAAGAUAAUUGCAUGGAAAAAUAAUGAACCCAUAUAGUUAUAAAUAAUAAA